AUCCAGCUGACGAGUCCCAAAUAGGACGAAACGUGUGUCGUGGAU
This 45-nucleotide non-coding RNA is filed under the name Schistosoma mansoni. Lineage: Eukaryota; Metazoa; Platyhelminthes; Trematoda; Strigeidida; Schistosomatidae. The record is from RNAcentral.